UGCCGAGUCGCCAAAUGGUAAGGCACCUGACUCUGGAUCAGGCACGUGUGGGUUCGAGUCCUACCUCGGCAGCCA
This 75-nucleotide transfer RNA is filed under the name Caloramator sp. mosi_1. RNAcentral describes it as "tRNA-Gln". It matches the Rfam family "tRNA". From Rfam's summary of the family: Transfer RNA (tRNA) molecules are approximately 80 nucleotides in length. Lineage: Bacteria; Bacillati; Bacillota; Clostridia; Eubacteriales; Clostridiaceae. The record is from RNAcentral.